GAUGAACGCUGGCGGCGUGCCUAACACAUGCAAGUCGAGCGAGAAGAUUAUGAUAGAUCCUUCGGGUGAAAGAUUAAUUGGAAAGCGGCGGACGGGUGAGUAACGCGUGGGCAACCUGCCCUGUAUAAAGGGAUAGCCACUGGAAACGGUGAUUAAUACCUUAUAAGACUACAGAAACACAUGUUUCAGUAGCCAAAGCUCCGGCGAUACAGGAUGGGCCCGCGUUUGAUUAGCUAGUUGGUGAGGUAAUGGCUCACCAAGGCGACGAUCAAUAGCCGACCUGAGAGGGUGAUCGGCCACACUGGAACUGAGACACGGUCCAG
RNAcentral lists this ribosomal RNA (323 nucleotides) under uncultured bacterium. RNAcentral's name for it is "bacterial SSU rRNA". It matches the Rfam family "Bacterial small subunit ribosomal RNA", at positions 28 to 334 of the family's 1533-position model. The record is from RNAcentral.